UGGGGAAUAUUGCACAAUGGGGGAAACCCUGAUGCAGCGACGCCGCGUGAGUGAAGAAGUAUUUCGGUAUGUAAAGCUCUAUCAGCAGGGAAGAAAGUGACGGUACCUGACUAAGAAGCCCCGGCUAACUACGUGCCAGCAGCCGCGGUAAUACGUAGGGGGCAAGCGUUAUCCGGAUUUACUGGGUGUAAAGGGAGCGUAGACGGAGGAGCAAGUCUGAAGUGAAAGCCCGCGGCUCAACUGCGGGACUGCUUUGGAAACUGUUCAUCUAGAGUGUCGGAGAGGUAAGUGGAAUUCCUAGUGUAGCGGUGAAAUGCGUAGAUAUUAGGAGGAACACCAGUGGCGAAGGCGGCUUACUGGACGAUGACUGACGUUGAGGCUCGAAAGCGUGGGGAGCAAACAGG
Molecule: ribosomal RNA, 404 nt
Filed under: uncultured bacterium
Lineage: Bacteria
Description: bacterial SSU rRNA
Rfam family: Bacterial small subunit ribosomal RNA
Source: RNAcentral